GCCUCUGUAGCUCAGUGGUAGAGCGAUCGCCUCGUAAGCGAUAGGUCGAGGGUUCAAUUCCCUCCAGGGGCU
Molecule: transfer RNA, 72 nt
Filed under: Microcaldota archaeon
Lineage: Archaea; Nanobdellati; Microcaldota
Description: Candidatus Micrarchaeota archaeon (hot springs metagenome) tRNA-Thr
Rfam family: tRNA
About the family: Transfer RNA (tRNA) molecules are approximately 80 nucleotides in length. Their secondary structure includes four short double-helical elements and three loops (D, anti-codon, and T loops).
Source: RNAcentral